UACCGAGUUAUCAACUCCCAAACCCCUGUGAACAUACCACAACGUUGCCUCGGCGGGACCGCCCCGGCGCCCUCGGCGGCCCGGAACCAGGCGCCCGCCGGAGGACCCAAACUCUUGCUUUGAACAGUGGCAUACUCUCUGAGUCUCACAAACAAAAAAUGAAUCAAAACUUUCAACAACGGAUCUCUUGGCUCUGGCAUCGAUGAAGAACGCAGCGAAAUGCGAUAAGUAAUGUGAAUUGCAGAAUUCAGUGAAUCAUCGAAUCUUUGAACGCACAUUGCGCCCGCCAGCAUUCUGGCGGGCAUGCCUGUCCGAGCGUCAUUUCAACCCUCAGGGAGCCCCCUCGCGGGAGGACCUGGUGUUGGGGGCCGGCCGCCCGCGCCGCCCCCGAAAUGCAGUGGCGACCUCGCCGCAGCCUCCCCUGCGUAGUAGCACAACCUCGCACCGGAGCGCGGAGACGGUCACGCCGUAAAACGCCCAACUUUCAAGAGUUGACCUCGGAUCAGGUAGGAAUACCCGCUGAACUUAAGCAUAUCAAUAAGCGGAGGAAAAGAAACCAACAGGGAUUGCCCCAGUAACGGCGAGUGAAGCGGCAACAGCUCAAAUUUGAAAUCUGGCCCCCAGGGCCCGAGUUGUAAUUUGCAGAGGAUGCUUUUGGCGCGGUGCCUUCCGAGUUCCCUGGAACGGGACGCCAUAGAGGGUGAGAGCUCCCGUCUGGUCGGACACCAAGCCAGUGUAAAGCUCCUUCGACGAGUCGAGUAGUUUGGGGAAUGCUGCUCUAAAUGGGGGUAUAUGUCUUCUAAAGCUAAAUACC
This 814-nucleotide ribosomal RNA is filed under the name Tolypocladium sp. RG-2013a. RNAcentral describes it as "eukaryotic LSU rRNA". The stretch from base 493 to 814 matches the Rfam family "Eukaryotic large subunit ribosomal RNA", at positions 1 to 324 of the family's 3401-position model. Lineage: Eukaryota; Fungi; Ascomycota; Sordariomycetes; Hypocreales; Ophiocordycipitaceae. The record is from RNAcentral.